RNAcentral lists this transfer RNA (75 nucleotides) under Desulfurococcus mucosus DSM 2162. Its description in RNAcentral is "tRNA-His (GTG) (tRNA-His-GTG-1-1)". It matches the Rfam family "tRNA". From Rfam's summary of the family: Transfer RNA (tRNA) molecules are approximately 80 nucleotides in length. Their secondary structure includes four short double-helical elements and three loops (D, anti-codon, and T loops). The record is from RNAcentral. Lineage: Archaea; Thermoproteati; Thermoproteota; Thermoprotei; Desulfurococcales; Desulfurococcaceae. RNAcentral also lists the same sequence under 3 other names.
GCCCGGGUAGCUCAGCCUGGUUAGAGCGCCGGGCUGUGGACCCGGAGGUCCCGGGUUCAAAUCCCGGCCCGGGCC